Molecule: RNA transcript, 1236 nt
Organism: Leopardus geoffroyi (Geoffroy's cat)
Lineage: Eukaryota; Metazoa; Chordata; Mammalia; Carnivora; Felidae
Gene: CD46
Gene name: CD46 molecule
Exons: 10
Source: RefSeq, a predicted model, not a curated record
GCCUGGGCGAAUGACACCUGGGUCCUGGGGGAAUUGUUGCGUCUGGUACCGGACUCGGAAGGGUCCCUGCUCUGCGGACUCUCGGGUUCCCACAGAUAUCCAGGAGGAUGAUGGCGUCCUGCGCGCGGCGCCCUUGCCGUCCCCGCCUCCCCGAGAGGCGCCUUUCUUGGCGCGUGGUCGGGAUUCUUUUGGUAGCCCCAGUGCUCCUGCUCUCUCUAAACUCUGAUGCCUGUGGUGAACCACCAAAAUUCGAAACUAUGAAGCUCAAGGGUAAACCUAAAAAAUAUUAUGAGGUUGGAGAGAAAAUAUAUUAUGAGUGUCUUCCAGGACGCAUUACUGUGUUUCCCGUCAUGGCUUAUUGUGAGCAGAAUCACUCGUGGUUCCCUCUCCAAGAAGCUUGUAUGAAAAAAGAAUGCGAUAGGCUAUCACUUCAACAUGGUGAAGUUGUUGCCCCAAAUAAAACCUUUUCGUUUGAUCACGAAGCUCACUUUUAUUGUGAUGAGGGUUAUUACUUAGUUGGGCAACAAGUUAUAGUUUGUAACCUUCGUGGAAAUGACGUGUAUUGGAGUGAUAACCCCCCACAAUGUAAAAAGAUUUACUGUCAACCGCCUGCAAAAAUAAAUAACGGAAAAUACAGCAAUAGCCACAGAACUAUAUUUGAAUAUAAUGAACUAAUAACUUACAGUUGUAAUCCUUCACAAGGAUCAGACGAAUUUUCACUUGUUGGAGACAGCAAACUUAUUUGUGUUGGGAAUAACAAGUGGAGUAGUGACCCUCCUCAGUGUAAAGUGGUCAGAUGUGAACAUCCAGUACUUGUGAAUGGAAGACUGGUAUCAGGAGUCAGAGAAACCUAUUCCUACCAAGCAGUGGUUCUAUUUGAAUGCCUCCCAGGUUUCUAUCUUAAUGGCAGCAACCCAGUGUUCUGUGGUGAGAGAAAUACUUGGGAACCUGAGAUGCCGACAUGUAUUAAAGGUUUCAAGCCUACUCAUCCAACCAAACCUCCAGUUUCAAAGUAUCCAGGUUCAGUAAUUUUUCCUCCUGCUUAUAUAGUUAACAACUUUAUAAGGCUAUCCUGAGCCCAAUGAAUCAGCAUUAUUUGAAGAAUUGGAGGAAUUAGAUGCAGGUAUCAUUGCUGUGAUUAUUCUUACUAUCCUUGUCGGCCUUGCAGUACUUUGCACCUGCCUGUACAGAUGUCUUCAAAGAAAGAAAGGGUAAAUUAAAGGACAUUUCUUCUAA